AAGGGAGACCUAAUUCGGGUAUAAGACGAAAAAAGAGUAGUCGAAACCAAGAAUCAAUCCCAAAUGGUCGGAACGAGGUAUGUGGCUUUCAAACUAGGUUCUGGGUUCACACAAGACCUGAAUCAGGAACAAGGGCUAUUAGCUCAGGUGGUUAGAGCGCACCCCUGAUAAGGGUGAGGUCCCUGGUUCGAGUCCAGGAUGGCCCACCUGCACAGGUGGCAAAAACAAAGAAGCGAGGAAUCAGCACCUUAUCUUAUCUAUAUAUAAGAGAGAAUGCUGGCUCUGAGUAAAGAGUCCAGAGGAACCUUGAAAACUGCAUAGAGCUAGGUGAAAAAGCCAAAAAAGAAGACCGCAA
RNAcentral lists this transfer RNA (355 nucleotides) under uncultured Microcystis sp. Its description in RNAcentral is "partial 16S-23S ribosomal RNA intergenic spacer". The stretch from base 133 to 206 matches the Rfam family "tRNA". The record is from RNAcentral. Lineage: Bacteria; Bacillati; Cyanobacteriota; Cyanophyceae; Chroococcales; Microcystaceae.